RNAcentral lists this ribosomal RNA (484 nucleotides) under uncultured bacterium. Its description in RNAcentral is "partial 16S ribosomal RNA". It matches the Rfam family "Bacterial small subunit ribosomal RNA", at positions 30 to 507 of the family's 1533-position model. The record is from RNAcentral.
AUUGAACGCUGGCGGCAGGCCUAACACAUGCAAGUCGAGCGGAUGAAGGGAGCUUGCUCCUGGAUUCAGCGGCGGACGGGGAAGUAAUGCCUAGGACUCUGCCUGGUAGUGGGGGAUAACUGCCGGAAACGGGCGCUAAUACCGCAUACGUCCUGAGGGAGAAAGUGUGGGAUCUUCGGACCUCACGCUAUCAGAUGAGGGUAGGUCGGAUUAGCUAGUUGGUGGGGUAAAGGCCUACCAAGGCGACGAUCCGUAACUGGUCUGAGAGGAUGAUCAGUCACAAUAGAACUGAGACGCGGUGCAGACUCCUACGGGAGGCAGCAGUGGGGAAUAUUGGACAACGGGCGAAAGACUGAUCCAGCCAUGCCGCGUGUGUGAAGAAGGUCUUCGGAUUGUAAAGCACUUUAAGUUGGGAGGAAGGGCAGUAAGUUAAUACCUUGCUGUGUUGACGUUACCAACAGAAUAAGCACCGGCUAACUUCGUG